Long non-coding RNA from Melitaea cinxia (Glanville fritillary), 131 nucleotides. RefSeq lists it as uncharacterized. The transcript is spliced from 4 exons. The record is from RefSeq and is a predicted model, not a curated record. NCBI's taxonomy places the organism in Eukaryota, Metazoa, Arthropoda, Insecta, Lepidoptera, Nymphalidae.
ACUUAAUGAAAAAAUGAUUAAAUUUAAUCGUCACUACGAUUUUUAAGGUUGCCCCUCGAUUUCUCUGGGAUUCCAUCAACAGAUCCUGGCUUCCUUUACAUGGUACCACCCUUUGGAUAUCCCUUUUCCAA